CCUACGGGUGGCAGCAGUGGGGAAUAUUGCACAAUGGGGGAAACCCUGAUGCAGCGACGCCGCGUGAGUGAAGAAGUAAUUCGUUAUGUAAAGCUCUAUCAGCAGGGAAGAAAAUGACGGUACCUGAGUAAGAAGCCCCGGCUAACUACGUGCCAGCAGCCGCGGUAAUACGUAGGGGGCAAGCGUUAUCCGGAUUUACUGGGUGUAAAGGGAGCGUAGACGGCAUUGCAAGUCUGGAGGGAAAGGCUGGGGCUCAACCCCCGGACUGCUCUGGAAACUGUAAGUCUGGAGUGGAGGAGAGGUAAGUGGAAUUCGCAGUGUAGCGGUGAAAUGCGUAGAUAUUAGGAAGAACCCCAGUGGCGAAGGCGGCAUACUGGACCGUCACUGACGUUGAGGCUCGAAAGCGUGGGGAGCAAACAGGAUUAGAUACCCGUGUAGUC
This 440-nucleotide ribosomal RNA is filed under the name uncultured bacterium. RNAcentral describes it as "partial 16S ribosomal RNA". It matches the Rfam family "Bacterial small subunit ribosomal RNA", at positions 338 to 795 of the family's 1533-position model. The record is from RNAcentral.